This is a long non-coding RNA of Cyprinus carpio (common carp), 580 nucleotides long. The record is from Ensembl. NCBI's taxonomy places the organism in Eukaryota, Metazoa, Chordata, Actinopteri, Cypriniformes, Cyprinidae.
GUAUGCCGGGAGGUAAGAAGAACCAACGUCAGUGUGUUGCUUGCCAGCAUUUAAUAUAUGUUGCAUGCAAAAAAUGCCCUCACUGCAAAGCACAGCAGCCUUACAAGAAAAGACUGAUUGAGGCCAGAACCAAGUUUGCAGCUCAGAAGUCUGAAUAUGUCAAAAACAUAAAGAAGAACUGUAACCAAACCCAUGUGCUAGAGUCAAGCUUCAAAGUGCUGGAUCGCCUUGAAGCUGUUGGAUACUACCCCAUAUUACUUUUGGGGAGUAAAAAAAAAUCAACAUUUACUGCAGAUGUCAUCAGCAGCAUUGGGCUGAAUAUUCAUGAGGAGCUUCUGGGAAAGCUGAAGGAGGUCUUUGGUUCAAUCCUGAAGUUACACUCCCGAAAUCUGGAGAAGGAGAAGGUAGCUGAAGUUGAAGACAGUAUCCCUGCUAGGGAGUCAGCUGGUCAGGAAGAGGAUAUGAUGCAGCAAGGUACAGACUGUUUUCCAGUCAACGCCACACUGACGUAGAAAGGGAUGUGUGUGUAUCCUAUAGGUGCAAAAGAAUGCACAACGGGCUUGCAACUUUGGAAAAAAUG